AGUAACGCGUAUGCAAUCUGCCUUUCACAGAGGGAUAGCCCAGAGAAAUUUGGAUUAAUACCUCAUAGCAUUACAGGAUGGCAUCAUUUUGUAAUUAAAGUCACAACGGUGAAAGAUGAGCAUGCGUCCCAUUAGCUAGUUGGUAAGGUAACGGCUUACCAAGGCGACGAUGGGUAGGGGUCCUGAGAGGGAGAUCCCCCACACUGGUACUGAGACACGGACCAGACUCCUACGGGAGGCAGCAGUGAGGAAUAUUGGUCAAUGGACGCAAGUCUGAACCAGCCAUGCCGCGUGCAGGAUGACGGUCCUAUGGAUUGUAAACUGCUUUUGCACAGGAAGAAACACUCCGACGUGUCGGAGCUUGACGGUACUGUGAGAAUAAGGAUCGGCUAACUCCGUGCCAGCAGCCGCGGUAAUACGGAGGAUCCAAGCGUUAUCCGGAAUCAUUGGGUUUAAAGGGUCCGUAGGCGGUCUUGUAAGUCAGUGGUGAAAGCCCAUCGCUCAACGGUGGAACGGCCAUUGAUACUGCAGGACUUGAAUUAUUGGGAAGUAACUAGAAUAUGUAGUGUAGCGGUGAAAUGCUUAGAGAUUACAUGGAAUACCAAUUGCGAAGGCAGGUUACUACCAAUUUAUUGACGCUGAUGGACGAAAGCGUGGGUAGCGAACAGGAUUAGAUGCCCUGGUAGUCCACGCCGUAAACGAUGGAUACUAGCUGUUGGGAGCAAUCUCAGUGGCUAAGCGAAAGUGAUAAGUAUCCCACCUGGGGAGUACGAACGCAAGUUUGAAACUCAAAGGAAUUGACGGGGGCCCGCACAAGCGGUGGAGCAUGUGGUUUAAUUCGAUG
This 844-nucleotide ribosomal RNA is filed under the name uncultured Bacteroidota bacterium. RNAcentral describes it as "bacterial SSU rRNA". It matches the Rfam family "Bacterial small subunit ribosomal RNA", at positions 109 to 956 of the family's 1533-position model. Lineage: Bacteria; Pseudomonadati; Bacteroidota. The record is from RNAcentral.